This 208-nucleotide ribosomal RNA is filed under the name uncultured bacterium. Its description in RNAcentral is "partial 16S ribosomal RNA". It matches the Rfam family "Bacterial small subunit ribosomal RNA", at positions 568 to 774 of the family's 1533-position model. The record is from RNAcentral.
CACGUAGGCGGCAAGAUAAGUUCGUUGUGAAAGCCCCACUGCUCAACAGGGGGAUUGCAGCGAAAACUGUUUUGCUUGAGUAUGGGAGAGGUGAGCGGAAUUCCAUGUGUAGCGGUGGAAUGCGGAGAUAUAUGGAAGAACACCGGUGGCGAAAGCGCUCUACUGGACCGUAACUGACACUGAGGGACGAAAGCCAAGGUAGCGAAAG